This 217-nucleotide ribosomal RNA is filed under the name Clostridioides difficile. RNAcentral's name for it is "partial 16S ribosomal RNA". It matches the Rfam family "Bacterial small subunit ribosomal RNA", at positions 1326 to 1533 of the family's 1533-position model. The record is from RNAcentral. Lineage: Bacteria; Bacillati; Bacillota; Clostridia; Peptostreptococcales; Peptostreptococcaceae.
CUGGAGUUACUAGUAAUCGCAGAUCAGAAUGCUGCGGUGAAUGCGUUCCCGGGUCUUGUACACACCGCCCGUCACACCACGGGAGUUGGAGACGCCCGAAGCCGAUUAUCUAACCUUUUGGAAGAAGUCGUCGAAGGUGGAAUCAAUAACUGGGGUGAAGUCGUAACAAGGUAGCCGUAUCGGAAGGUGCGGCUGGAUCACCUCCUUUCUAAGGAGA